GUGCCAGCAGCCGCGGUAAAACGUAGGACGCAAGCGUUAUCCGGAGUUACUGGGCGUAAAGGGCAGGUAGGCGGGUGGCUAAGUUGGAUGUGAAAUCUCCCAGGCUUAACCGGGAGGGUGCAUUCAAGACUGGCGACCUGGAGGGCGGCAGAGGAGCGUGGAAUUCCGGGUGGAGUGGUGAAAUGCGUAGAGAUCCGGAGGAACACCAGAGGCGAAAGCGGGGCUCUGGGCCGCACCUGACGCUGAACUGCGAAAGCCAGGGGAGCGAACGGGAUUAGAAACCCGUGUAGUCC
RNAcentral lists this ribosomal RNA (293 nucleotides) under uncultured bacterium. RNAcentral's name for it is "partial 16S ribosomal RNA". It matches the Rfam family "Bacterial small subunit ribosomal RNA", at positions 505 to 796 of the family's 1533-position model. The record is from RNAcentral.